Molecule: non-coding RNA, 1383 nt
Organism: Pelobates cultripes (western spadefoot toad)
Lineage: Eukaryota; Metazoa; Chordata; Amphibia; Anura; Pelobatidae
Source: the annotation of a GenBank genome assembly
GAAAGGACAUGUGUAGAAUCCCUUGCUGCAGGCUAAUUUUCUCAGAGCUGUGUUUGAGCUGUGCGUUUUGUGGAGGUUCACUCUACCAGGUUUGAGAGGUUGGUACACGCUGGCUCUCAGCAGACCAAGUUUUGUCGGAGCUGAGAGGUCCCUGGAGAUCCUGGGAGGUCUGAGAGGUCGGCAAGCGCUGGCUCUCAACAGACAUGGCUGCCUGGUCAGAGCUGUGUUGGAAUGGUGUGGCCCUGGGAGAAACUGGGAGGUUUGCGAUUUGAAAGGUUGGCACGUACUGGCCCUCAAUACAGAGAUUUUUAUCAUCUAUACUAUUACCCACAUGGCAAGCUGCAUAUUAAGAUAUGAGGUACACAAUGAAUGCCUGGAUGACUGGGUGCACUACAGCUAAUUCCCUGUGAAAAAAAAACAUCUUAAAUUCUUUCAUCACAGAGGAUAAUGAAAACGCUGGCUCCUCAGACAAAGUAAGAUAAAUGCCAAUCUCUAAUGCUAUAAAUAAGAAGUAGAAAAAAAAAAUUACAAAAAAUUGUUAAAGAAGCUGGAAAGAUUCUUGUGUACAGGCGGGCUGAUGAAUCCAGUAAUAGGAGAACUGUAACAUCAAAAAUCCUUCAAAUUCACUGUUUUUGUCUCUUUAUAUGUAGAUAAGAGGUCAAUAGUACAAAAUCAGUGAACAAAGAAUUUUAUACUGAUUAAUUGUCAUCAAGAAGCUUUAUUUUGCUGAUUAAGUUACUUCAAAAUUUUCUAAAUUACUUGGUUUAGUUUUUCUACAUGCAAAUAGGAGGUUAAUAGAAACUCGUGAAUAAAGACUCUUAACAAUUACAUCAAGAAUUUUUAAAAAAAACAGCUUGUUCCUUUUUUUUUUCAUCUUUAAAAGAGGAAAGAAAAAAAGAGAAAGAGAAAGUUUGUUCCUGUCUUUUAUAUAUGCAUACAAGAGGUCAAUAAGAGAACGGGAGAAGGAAGGAGAGAGAAGGGGAAAUCUCAAAUUUAUAUUGCCUGAGACUUUUUUUUUUGUUUCUUUGUUUGUGCAGAUCUGCUUUUUGUUUUACCACCUGAAAAGAAAUGGCGCCUAAAAGUGAUAAGACGGAUAAAGCAAAAAAGCAGUAUGGAGCAGAUAAAUCUUUAGAUUAACCUAUUAGCUCGUUUUAUUCUUCCAAAUCACAGAUAAAUACUCAAGGCUUAUCUCCUGGACCAUUGUUGGAUCAAACUUUAGAUUCAAGUGUUUUAGAUUCGUCAAAUGUAAUAACAAAUAUCAACUUAAAUCAAGCAUGAGAGAAUCUAUACAGUAAAAUUAAAAUAGAUCUGGAAAAGAAUCAAGCAGCAAUGAAGGAGGAAAUCUCCCAGAUCCGAUCAAUAAUGGCUCAUGAAAUUACACAA